RNAcentral lists this unclassified non-coding RNA (229 nucleotides) under plant metagenome. RNAcentral's name for it is "partial contains small subunit ribosomal RNA, internal transcribed spacer 1, and 5.8S ribosomal RNA". The record is from RNAcentral.
UCUCCGUAGGUGAACCUGCGGAGGGAUCAUUACAGAGUUCAUGCCCUACCGGGUAGAUCUCCCACCCUAUGUUAUUAUUGCUUUGUUGCUUUGGCGGGCCGUUAGGCUCCGGCCCGACUACCGGCCCCGGCUGGUAAGCGCCCGCCAGAGGACCCAAAACCCUGAAUAUUAGUGUCGUCUGAGUACUAUAUAAUAGUUAAAACUUUCAACAACGGAUCUCUUGGUUCUC